Long non-coding RNA from Prionailurus viverrinus (fishing cat), 564 nucleotides. RefSeq lists it as uncharacterized. The transcript is spliced from 2 exons. The record is from RefSeq and is a predicted model, not a curated record. Lineage: Eukaryota; Metazoa; Chordata; Mammalia; Carnivora; Felidae.
UACUUCCAAGGAGGUAUUGCUUCCUCUUUACAGAAGAGGAAACUGCCAUUUUGAGGACCCAGAGAGCUUAUGCAGGUGCUGGGUUCUGGAUUCGGCACCCGGCCUGACUGCAUGGCCACCCUGCCUUCGGGAGGCUUCAAGCCCAGCACAGAGCCCAGUGCGGGGCUUGAACUCACGACCCUGAGAUCAAGACCUGAGCCGAGAUCAAGAGUCAGACGCUUAGCUGACUGAGCCCCCCGGGCGCCCCGAUGGCACCUGUUCUUUUUGACAAAACCUGCCACGUGCUUGUUCUCCCCCGCCCCUUUCCCCCAUACCCUAUAAUCUCAAGCUAGGAAACCUUACGUCUGGAUGACAUUCUGAAUCAACAUGAAAGAACAUUUUGUGACCAUAAAGGUCAGGUUAGUUACGUCUCUCAAAACCUUAAAGGAAGUCAUCUUGGAUGCGGGUCAGAAAAAUCUCAGCCAGUUACCACAACCUAGCGUCUACGCAGGUCCUCAGUGUGCGGCUCCAGUACCUUUCCACUAUCCCCAGUAUUGCUCGUAAAUCCAUUCUGGUAUAAAACGA